This is a non-coding RNA of Rattus norvegicus (Norway rat), 70 nucleotides long. NCBI's taxonomy places the organism in Eukaryota, Metazoa, Chordata, Mammalia, Rodentia, Muridae. The record is from Rfam.
GGGGGUUUAGCUCAGUGGUAGAGCACUUGCCUAGCAAGUGAAAGGCCCUGGGUUUGGUUCUCAGCUCCCG